AAGUCUAGCUUGUUUCAAAUGUUUUUCAGCCAAUCAUCACUCUCCGAAAGUCCUGGAACGUAAACUUGACCACAAAAAAAAUAUUUUCCGGCAGCCAUUGUUUUGAUCAUACCUACCCGAUGAAAAAUCCAAGGUUCCGUUUCACGCCCUCACAGGAGUUGGUCCUCAAGGCCACACCCCAGGCAGUAAAAGUGGACGCUGACGGCCCCCCCUGCUUCUGGUGCUCAGGGCCCCACUGCUUCUGGUGGUCAGGGCCCUCCUGUGAGGACGCCUUAACUCGCUACUCGUGCGCCUAUCCGGCCUUCACUGAGAUGGUCAGGUUCAACCGGAUGCACGAGGAAGCUAAAGUCCUGUCCUCCUAGCCAGGCCAGGAGGACAAGGCCCUUGUUGGCAUCAGGAAGUACAAGUGGGACUCACUGCAGGACCUGGGUGCAGACAGGAUAAAGUAAUGUGUGCUGCGCGUCUUUUGUGUUUUCUAUGUUCAUCUCAGUGUGUUCUAUGCAACAUUUUACAUCUGAAACGUUCCCUCUGCUGUGUCUCACGCAGAUAUGUCAGGAGCAUGAGGAUGCAGACACCCCGUUAUCCUGGGAGUGCGAUGGCCGCCUUGAUUGACUACUACAUUCAGCGCAGAGACCAGGAGGGGGUAGUUGCUGUGGCCAGGCCCGCCAGCACCAUCCGGCCCAAGAGUGCGGCUACGUAAGUGUAGGGGCCGGACCCUGAUUGGCUACGUAAGUGUAGGGGCCGGACCCUGAUAUGCUACGUAAGUGUAGGGGCCGGACCCUGAUUGCCUACGUAAGUGUAGGGGCCGGACCCUGAUUGCCUACGUAAGUGUAGGGGCCGGACCCUGAUUGGCUACGUAAGUGUAGGGGCCGGACCCUGAUUGGCUACGUGAGUGUAGGGGCCGGACCCUGAUUGCCUACGUGAGUGUAGGGGCCGGACCCUGAUUGGCUACGUGAGUGUAGGGGCCGGACCCUGAUUGGCUACGUAAGUGUAGGGGCCGGACCCUGAUUGGCUACGUGAAUGUAGGGGCCGGACCCUGAUUGGCCGUGAGUGUAGGGGCCGGACCCUGAUUGGCUACGUGAGUGUAGGGGCCGGACCCUGAUUGGCUACGUGAGUGUGGGGCCGGACCCUGAUUGGCUACGUGAGUGU
Long non-coding RNA from Oncorhynchus nerka (sockeye salmon), 1149 nucleotides. RefSeq lists it as uncharacterized. The transcript has 4 exons. The record is from RefSeq and is a predicted model, not a curated record. NCBI's taxonomy places the organism in Eukaryota, Metazoa, Chordata, Actinopteri, Salmoniformes, Salmonidae.